GAGUCGAGUUGUUUGGGAAUGCAGCUCUAAAUGGGAGGUAAAUUUCUUCUAAAGCUAAAUACUGGCCAGAGACCGAUAGCGCACAAGUAGAGUGAUCGAAAGAUGAAAAGCACUUUGGAAAGAGAGUCANNNAGCACGUGAAAUUGUUGAAAGGGAAGCGCUUGCAGCCAGACUUGCCUGUAGNUGNUUAUCCGGACUUUUGUCCGGUGCACUCUUNUGCGGGCAGGCCAGCAUCAGUUUGGGCGGUUGGAUAAAGG
Molecule: ribosomal RNA, 257 nt
Filed under: Pleosporales sp. BESC196n
Lineage: Eukaryota; Fungi; Ascomycota; Dothideomycetes; Pleosporales
Description: partial 28S ribosomal RNA
Rfam family: Eukaryotic large subunit ribosomal RNA
Source: RNAcentral